RNAcentral lists this long non-coding RNA (1013 nucleotides) under Felis catus (domestic cat). RNAcentral describes it as "lncRNA (ENSFCAG00000050061.1)". The record is from RNAcentral. Lineage: Eukaryota; Metazoa; Chordata; Mammalia; Carnivora; Felidae.
UGGUUUCCCGCACGCGAAGACACGCACAGUUCUAGUUUCUUCAUUCACAGAGGCCUGGAGAAGAAUAGACGGUCCAGGGCGGACUGGUAAACUAGCGCUGAGACCAGGGACAGGAAGUGAGCUACGCUGACAACACCUACUACGCGCUGGGUCUUGCGUUGGGCAUUAUCUUAUUUACUCCGAAAAGCGAUUGGGCGGCCUCACUAAUUCCCAUUGUAUGGUUGGGGAAAACUCAGAAAGUCACACUCAGGAAGUGACAGAGACGUGGCUUGAGCUGAGUCUGUGUGAUUUCACUGGCCCGUCAACUUUCAUCUUGAUCACAGAAUGUUCACUGUUCAACGGCAAAGAGGAAUAUUCGAGACUGACCACCUGUUCAAAGAAAAUCUAAGCGGCCUCUGCGGUUCACAUUAUAUUUACAUCGGAGAGCACCAGUGUCUAGGGGAGUGUAUUUGCGAAUUCUGGAUAAAAGCCCUCGCCCUUCCCCUUGCCGCUUUUCACGUUUCCAUAGCAACCACCUCUAUUGUAUCCGUGACUGUGAAGAGAAAUCUUGCAGAUCUGCUCGCUUCCCCCCCAAGUACCUGCAAGCCCUUCAGCGUGGCUCCCUCUGUCCUCCACGAGCCCGGCUCCCGCUCGCCUCCACCCCAGCCUCGUGGAAAGCUCGGGACCACACCCGCGCCUUUGAAUGUCUUCAUUCUGUGCAUUUCCCGCAGAGGGAUCAGCCACCUUUCCUUGCUGGUUCAGAGGACAGGGCAGACAUGGGAACACGCACACGCUCUCAUCGGGGCUUUGAAGACCCACGACACCUGAAUCCCCCACCUCCCCUCUCAGGGCCAGGCUCAGCUGGCCAUCUGGAAAGGCCAUCAGAAUGGGGCUUUAUCGUUCCCCUCCCGAAACUGUUUGAAGAGUUCAUAGCCUACAAUCCCUCCUUGGAACCGGGCAUUAUUCUCUUGAUUACACAAGCCUGACAGCCUGAUCAUAAUAAACAUGUAACUGAAGAGAACCUAUUCCUUUCC